This 230-nucleotide ribosomal RNA is filed under the name uncultured bacterium. Its description in RNAcentral is "partial 16S ribosomal RNA". It matches the Rfam family "Bacterial small subunit ribosomal RNA", at positions 562 to 791 of the family's 1533-position model. The record is from RNAcentral.
AAAGGGAGCGUAGGCGGAUGUUUAAGUCAGAGGUGAAAGCCCAGGGCUCAACCUUGGAACUGCCUUUGAUACUGGGCAUCUUGAGUGUGGGAGAGGUAAGCGGAACUCCGAGUGUAGAGGUGAAAUUCGUAGAUAUUCGGAAGAACACCAGUGGCGAAGGCGGCUUACUGGCCCAUUACUGACGCUGAGGCUCGAAAGCGUGGGGAGCAAACAGGAUUAGAUACCCCUGU